CAGUCGCCACGGGAAUACGUAGGGUCCGAGCGUUGUCCGGAAUUACUGGGCGUAAAGAGCUCGUAGGUGGUUUGUCGCGUUGUUCGUGAAAACUCACAGCUCAACUGUGGGCGUGCGGGCGAUACGGGCAGACUAGAGAACUGCAGGGGAGACUGGAAUUCCUGGUGUAGCGGUGGAAUGCGCAGAUAUCAGGAGGAACACCGGUGGCGAAGGCGGGUCUCUGGGCAGUAACUGACGCUGAGGAGCGAAAGCGUGGGGAGCGAACAGGAUUAGAGACCCCAGUAGUCCCUGUCUCUUAUAC
RNAcentral lists this ribosomal RNA (301 nucleotides) under uncultured bacterium. RNAcentral describes it as "partial 16S ribosomal RNA". It matches the Rfam family "Bacterial small subunit ribosomal RNA", at positions 509 to 807 of the family's 1533-position model. The record is from RNAcentral.